This 1249-nucleotide ribosomal RNA is filed under the name uncultured bacterium. RNAcentral describes it as "bacterial SSU rRNA". It matches the Rfam family "Bacterial small subunit ribosomal RNA", at positions 121 to 1374 of the family's 1533-position model. The record is from RNAcentral.
GGAAUUUUUUACCUAUAAAAAGUUUUUGGGAAAAUAAUUGGGGGGGAAAAACUUUAAGUUUAAUUUCCGGGGAGGUUUUCCGUAAAGGAGAAAAGGUUUUUUGCCCCUUUAGAAGGACCCGCCCACUAGAUUUAUUUUGUUGGUAAGGGUAAGAGUUCCACCCAGGAUUCGAUUUUUAUAGGGGAUUUAGAAGGAUGUUCAGCCACACUGGGAUGAGGGCCCGGCCCAGAUUCCUACGGGAGCAGCCAGUGGGGAAUAUUGACCAUGGGGGGAACCCUGAUCCAGCAAUGCCGCGUGAGUGAGGAAGGCUUUCGGGGUGUAAAACUCUUUCAUCAAUGAAGAUUAUGACAUUAAUGAAGAAAGAAGCUCCGGCUAACUCCGUGCCAGCAGCCGCGGUAAUACGGAGGGGGCUAGCGUUGUUCGGAAUUACUGGGCGUAAAGCGUAUGUAGGCGGAUCAAAAAGUUAGAUGUGAAAUCCCUGGGCUCAACCCAGGAACUGCAUUUAAAACUAGUGAUCUAGAAUUUGGUAGAGGUUAGUAGAAUUUCCAGUGUAGAGGUGAAAUUCGUAGAUAUUGGAAAGAAUACCAGUGGCGAAGGCGACUGACUGGGCCAUUUUUGACGCUGAGAUACGAAAGCGUGGGUAGCAAACAGGAUUAGAUACCCUGGUAGUCCACGCAGUAAACGAUGAGUGCUAGUCGCUGGGUCAAUAGAUUCGGUGUCGAAGCUAACGCAUUAAGCACUCCGCCUGGGGAGUACGGUCGCAAGAUUAAAACUCAAAUAAAUUGACGGGGGCCCGCACAAGCGGUGGAGCAUGUGGUUUAAUUCGAAGCAACGCGAAGAACCUUACCAGACCUUGACAUGGUGUGUUUGAAUUACAGAAUCGUAAUUCUUCAGUUCGGCUGGCACACACACAGGUGCUGCAUGGCUGUCGUCAGCUCGUGUCGUGAGAUGUUGGGUUAAGUCCCGCAACGAGCGCAACCCUCAUUUUUAGUUGCCAUCAGGUUAUGCUGGGCACUCUAAAAAAACUGCCGGUGAUAAGCUGGAGGAAGGCGGGGAUGACGUCAAGUCCUCAUGGCCCUUACGGUCUGGGCUACACACGUGCUACAAUGGUGGUGACAGUGGGCAGCAAUGUCGCAAGAUAUAGCUAAUCCCCAAAAGCCAUCUCAGUUCAGAUUGGACUCUGCAACUCGAGUCCAUGAAGUUGGAAUCGCUAGUAAUCGUAGAUCAGCAUGCUAUUGUAAAUCGCCCC